This 3593-nucleotide long non-coding RNA is filed under the name Triticum aestivum (bread wheat). RNAcentral describes it as "long non-coding RNA (TAES_LNC013583)". The record is from RNAcentral. Lineage: Eukaryota; Viridiplantae; Streptophyta; Magnoliopsida; Poales; Poaceae.
CCAUCAUCUCGACUGGGCCUGUGGCCCCAGCGGGAGAUGCCUAGGGCCGUGCCCAUCGACCAGGGCAGGGGGUGCCUACUAUGACAUGGACGAGUACACCAAACUGAUGUGAGCCGCCGCCAAUCCUAGCCCGUCGCCAAGCUCGUGAUGCUGGAGUGCUCCGCCCAAGUGUCUGAUCUAGGGGCCAAUUGGAAGGUAAGAUGUCUGCUCUUCGAUUAUGCGAUUAUUUCGUUUUCCUGUAUAUUCGAAAAUAUGGACUUGAAUUCUCUUAUGUUAUGAUUCAGGCCAGUUUUGAAAUAGUAAGGUUGACCGUAUCUAUUAUUUUCAAAGAAAAUAUAUGCUACAAAGAUUCAUAAGAAACUCUCUCGUGAGAGAUCUACCAUUAGGAAUAUUUCCAUAUGUUUACUUCUAAUUCAUUAGCAUGUCCUUUUUUUAGUUCAUUGCUGCCUCCUUUUCUUUAUGUUAGCCUUAUGAUGCUUGUGGUGAAUUGCAUUUCACAUGGCUAGAUAAACUAAGAUUAAAAAGGAAAACACGGUAUUCUUUGACAUAAGAGCAUGAUACCUUGGGUUCAUUUGUGCAGACCAAGAACAAAAAACUACUUAUGUUGCAAUAGUUUCAGUGGAAGGUAGUUAGGUAUUUAUUUCAUUGUUUUUAAGGCAUCCUGCCUUAGACGCUUAGGCGAUAAGGCGCCCUGGCAACGCCUUACAAAUAUGCCCGCCUUAAGCGCUUAGGCGUCCACCUUAGGCGCUUAGGCGUCGCCUAGGCGCUAAGGCGGGUGGUGCUCGCCUUAGGACGCCUUACCGCCUUAAAAACAAUGAUUUAUUUCACUAUGCUGGGGAAUAUGCCUAUUUAUAGGAUAUUGCGGUGAGGUACUGCCACAGCUAAGUAUCAAAUAUGCAUUAUGUUCGGAUAAGCCUUCCCAAAACGUAGAUCACUUUACAGGGAUCGUUGCUUCUUUAUUUGUAUUGUACCACAUCUUCCUUAUAAAGAAUACAUUGCAUGCCUUGCAGGACAGGUUUCCUUCUUCACUUUACCAGACUUCAAAUGUACUAUCUAGCAGACUAGCACGUGUGCAUAUGAUGACUCCUUUUAUCUUUGAUGAAGGUAUUGGGAUUUCUUUAGGGGAAAUUGUAACAAUGUUGUUUGAAAUGGUAAGGAAAAUGGUGCUUUUUUCCAUUGUCAUGUUUAACCGAAGUUCUGUUCUAUUGUCAUAUUCAAAACUAUGGUUCCUUGUUUGCAGUAUCUUGAAGUGAGCAGAAUUUGUAUACUUGUUUUAUAAGAGAUCUCUUUGUCUAGAACUUGUGAUAUAUGGCUGAUGUCAAUUUCAUCUUUUUAGGUGCUUCUCAAUUAUAGGUGGAAAGCCUGGCAUGGAGGCACAUAGGCUGCUGAUUAUGUUUCUGGAUUGGCCCUUGAGAAGGAGACCAAAGCAAACUUCAGCAGGUAUCAGUUGUGCAUCCUCUAUUCCUUGUGUUUGUCUUCCUAGCUGACCUUGAGCAUCUCUCCAAAAAAAAACCCUGACCUUGAGCAUUGUACAUUUUGGUAAAUAUAGUUAGUUACUUAGUUUACUAGCAGUUGCGAUAGUCAGACCACUUACAUGCUUAGCUGCCAUUUAGUAAUCAGUAAGAACUAAUUUGUGAAAAUUAGGCCUGAAGUAAUUGUGCUUCCCUGUUUUGUGCGCAUAAAUACUUAUGGUUACGUAUUGUGACCAAAUGAAGUAAACUUAUACAAGAUGCUUCUUCAUUGUUUCGCUUGUGGAAACUAAACUGCUGCUGUGUUAAUACAUAUGGCCUUAUUUAAAGGCUUGUGGUUGGUCACCAUUGUUGUGCAGUAAUUUCUUGCCGAAGCACCGGUCCAAAUUUAUUAUUGGUUUUACUGGCGCUGCAUGUAAGCGGGAUCUACUAAUUGUUCUGUUUGCUUUGCUUCGUGAGUUCUUACCCAUAUACCUCUUUGAUGAUUUUGCCUCCCUAUGUUUGACCUGGUCUUUUUUCGAAGUUUGUCAUGGUUUUUAUGGUAGUGUGACAUGACUAACAGCUUAUAAUUAUCUGUCUAUUCCACCCAAUGUGUGUGCUAUGAUAUUCUAUAAGGCUAGGCACACCCUAAGUUGGUUAAUGCUUUUGAGCUAGCUUGUUAUGAGAUAAUGAAACAAUAGUUUUUAUUUGCUCACUAGCAAGAUGAUGAUGUCAAACAAAUGACUAUUUGGCAUUUGUCCCUUUGAGGGUUUCUACCAUUUAACUGUAUUGUUGUUUCCCAUAAUAGAAUAUUUGCUAAUAAUUAGACUACCUUGUGAUUGUUAUUCCUGUGGGUAAAGAAAUAUAUGAUUGUUCAUGUACGCAUAGCUUGAGUAAAAGCACAUGACUUGUCUUCUGGAUUGGUAGCUAACAUUGAGAUACUUAUGUUUGUCGAUGCCUUCCCUUUUUGCAGUAACAUCCAUGCUUCCAGCGUAUGUUCAACAUCAGAAUUUUCUUGGCUGUUUGUUGUAGUUUCUUUUCUGGUUUUGGAAAAUUCUGCAGCUAUAUUUAUUGUAGAACAACAUACUUGUCUUCUGGAUUGGUAGCUAAAAUUGAGAUAAUUACGCUUGUCGAUGCCUUCCUUUUUUUCAAUAACAUCCAUGCUUCCAGUGUAUGUAGAACAUCAGAUUUUUCUUGGUUGCUUGUCGUAGUUUGUUUUUAGGUUUGGAAAAUUCUGCAGCUAUAUUUAUUUAAAGAUGUUGCCUUAAGUGAGCAUGUGCAAUAUCCGCUUCUUUAUGUUGUGUGCCGACAAGUUCCUCUAUUUUAGAUGGUUCUGUCUUUUCACUUUUGAAAAAGCUGACUAUAAAUCCUCGUAGGUGCCAUAGUCCAUAGUGGAAGAUGUUCUCAGGCUAGCACCUGGUUUAGAAUUUUGCAAUUCACAUCAAAUUUCUUCCAACAAGACAUGCUGAUUAGAUUCAGGAAUAUGUUGCUACGUCUCAGCUUUUCAGCUUCAUGUUGUAGGAUUAAUAUUAGGCACCUGACAUGAGGUUGAGAAAUACCAUGCUUUAAUUACUCAUGACAUACCUUGUGCAGGGCACAUAAAAUAUAUCUGAUAUCUCUUUUUUGCUAUGUAUAUUUUUGUCCUCUCUACUCUAAUUUAGUAGCACCAUUUUUUGAUGUUAUUUCUCUAUAUGAUUGUUGCUUCCACUAUCUCAAAUAUAUCUGAAAUGAAUUUGAAUUAGGUUACUUUAGUAUCAAGGUAAAAUUUGUUUGUUGUCCAGAAGCGCCAAAAUCCUAGGUGAUAAUAAUUUUGUGCUUGACUGUUGUUGACGGCCAGUAAAUUUGUAGGAGUGUGUUCGAUAGAAUUGGCAAUGGGAUCGGGAGGUGGUGUCCAAGAAUUAUGUGGUUUGAUGGCACUAGGGGCAGGAGUGCUGAUUUAAUCAGACUAAGAAGAUGCCUAAAUAAGCUGUGAGGCUGCCUAUAUAUAAUUGUAUUUCUAAGUCAUUGUACUAUAUGUAAACCAAUUUAAGUCAUUCUACCAUCUGUAAUACAAUCCACAUUGCAUUAUCUUUCCAUCGAUAUCUCCUACUUACUCACUACUAACAUUGCUUCUAAUUGGCUUCUUGCGCCAUUGGCGCAACCGGG